AUGCGUCCUGGUCGGAUGCGGAA
RNAcentral lists this small nuclear RNA (23 nucleotides) under Arabidopsis thaliana (thale cress). RNAcentral's name for it is "snRNA_01620". Lineage: Eukaryota; Viridiplantae; Streptophyta; Magnoliopsida; Brassicales; Brassicaceae. The record is from RNAcentral.